AGGAACUGGAAGAUGCUGCUGCUGCUUCGGGUGGGGGGGUUCAGAUAAACCUGAAUCAGGUUUCAUCAGCACCUCAGUGGUGGAUCAUGUCCAACCUCCAAUCAAUGGGACACAAAUGUUCCUCAAGAUGGCGCAAAAUGACUGCCGUGUAAAUUCAUAUUUGUUGUGCAGUCGAGGCCACCCUUGUUGACAUCUCUCAGUGAGCCCGUGCUGCUGUGCCAGAAGCUCAUUUCCAUGAGCAGAAGACAAAACCGUCCUUUCAAUUGGGAAAUGUGCCAAUCCAAGCCAAACAAACAGGAGAAUAUUUGCUGCUUGAAGAAAGCGCAGUGAAGUGUGGAUACAACACACGCAGAGGAGAGUCUUCUCAGAAAAGCCCAGGGGAGACUGAAACAGGAGGAGGAGGACAAAGGAGUGUGCAACGUGCAGUAUUUAUUGGCAGCAGGUCCGCUGUCGGCUGCGCACGCAUCGAUUCCCUGGUUCGUG
Long non-coding RNA from Gasterosteus aculeatus aculeatus (three-spined stickleback), 483 nucleotides. The record is from Ensembl. NCBI's taxonomy places the organism in Eukaryota, Metazoa, Chordata, Actinopteri, Perciformes, Gasterosteidae.